CAGCAGCCGCGGGAAUACGUAGGGUGCAAGCGUUAAUCGGAAUUACUGGGCGUAAAGCGUGCGUAGGCGGCUUCUUAAGUCGGAUGUGAAAUCCCUGAGCUUAACUUAGGAAUUGCAUUCGAUACUGGGAAGCUAGAGUAUGGGAGAGGAUGGUAGAAUUCCAGGUGUAGCGGUGAAAUGCGUAGAGAUCUGGAGGAAUACCGAUGGCGAAGGCAGCCAUCUGGCCUAAUACUGACGCUGAGGUACGAAAGCAUGGGGAGCAAACAGGAUUAGAGACCCCUGUAGUCCCUGUCUCUUAUAC
This 301-nucleotide ribosomal RNA is filed under the name uncultured bacterium. RNAcentral describes it as "partial 16S ribosomal RNA". It matches the Rfam family "Bacterial small subunit ribosomal RNA", at positions 509 to 807 of the family's 1533-position model. The record is from RNAcentral.